RNAcentral lists this ribosomal RNA (498 nucleotides) under uncultured bacterium. Its description in RNAcentral is "partial 16S ribosomal RNA". It matches the Rfam family "Bacterial small subunit ribosomal RNA", at positions 30 to 523 of the family's 1533-position model. The record is from RNAcentral.
AUUGAACGCUGGCGGCAUGCCUUACACAUGCAAGUCGAACGGUAACAGGUCUUCGGAUGCUGACGAGUGGCGAACGGGUGAGUAAUACAUCGGAACGUGCCUAGUAGUGGGGGAUAACUACUCGAAAGAGUGGCUAAUACCGCAUACGAUCUGUGGAUGAAAGCGGGGGACCGUAAGGCCUCGCGCGCUUGGAGCGGCCGAUGUCAGAUUAGGUAGUUGGGGAGGUAAAGGCUCACCAAGCCGACGAUCUGUAGCUGGUCUGAGAGGACGACCAGCCACACUGGGACUGAGACACGGCCCAGACUCCUACGGGAGGCAGCAGUGGGGAAUUUUGGACAAUGGGCGCAAGCCUGAUCCAGCAAUGCCGCGUGCAGGAUGAAGGCCUUCGGGUUGUAAACUGCUUUUGUACGGAGCGAAACGGCUUCCACUAAUACUGGGGGCUAAUGACGGUACCGUAAGAAUAAGCACCGGCUAACUACGUGCCAGCCGCCGCCGUAA